CAGUAUCCGCGGUAAUACGUAGGGGGCGAGCGUUGUCCGAAGUUACUGGGCGUAAAGAGCGCGUAGGCGGGUCUUUAAGUGAGGGGUGAAAGGUUCAGGGCUCAACCCGGACACUGCCUUUCAUACUGGAGACCUUGAGUGUGGGAGAGGCGAGUGGAAUGGUCGGUGUAGCGGUGAAAUGCGUAGAUAUCGAUCGGAACACCCAUGGCGAAGGCAGCUCGCUGGCCUAUAACUGACGCUGAGGCGCGAAAGCGUGGGGAGCAAACAGGAUUAGAUACCCGAGUAGUCCCUGUCUCUUAUA
Molecule: ribosomal RNA, 301 nt
Filed under: uncultured bacterium
Lineage: Bacteria
Description: partial 16S ribosomal RNA
Rfam family: Bacterial small subunit ribosomal RNA
Source: RNAcentral